AUUAUAUAUAUAUAUAUAUAUUUGACUACUUGGUGUAAUUGAUAAUUUUUCCAAAUUAAUUAAUUUCACCCUUCAUUACUACUACGGAUAACCAUAUUAUCUCAAUAGAUGACCACAGCAUCUUGUUUUGGCUACACGCGGGUGGAAGGGCUGUUGACACAAUCGUUUCAUUCACAAAUUGAAUUCGGUGAUACCAGUUGCGGAUUGCUAGCUCG
Molecule: long non-coding RNA, 215 nt
Organism: Octopus sinensis (East Asian common octopus)
Lineage: Eukaryota; Metazoa; Mollusca; Cephalopoda; Octopoda; Octopodidae
Exons: 3
Source: RefSeq, a predicted model, not a curated record